AAUGCCGGAUGCUCCAGUUGAUCGCAUGGUCUUCUGGGAAAGCUUUCGCGGUAUGGGAUGGGGUCGCGUCCUAUCAGCUUGACGGCGGGGUAACGGCCCACCGUGGCUUCGACGGGUAGCCGGCCUGAGAGGGCGACCGGCCACAUUGGGACUGAGAUACGGCCCAGACUCCUACGGGAGGCAGCAGUGGGGAAUAUUGCACAAUGGGCGCAAGCCUGAUGCAGCGACGCCGCGUGAGGGAUGGAGGCCUUCGGGUUGUAAACCUCUUUUAUCGGGGAGCAAGCGAGAGUGAGUUUACCCGUUGAAUAAGCACCGGCUAACUACGUGCCAGCAGCCGCGGUAAUACGUAGGGUGCAAGCGUUAUCCGGAAUUAUUGGGCGUAAAGGGCUCGUAGGCGGUUCGUCGCGUCCGGUGUGAAAGUCCAUCGCUUAACGGUGGAUCCGCGCCGGGUACGGGCGGGCUUGAGUGCGGUAGGGGAGACUGGAAUUCCCGGUGUAACGGUGGAAUGUGUAGAUAUCGG
RNAcentral lists this ribosomal RNA (520 nucleotides) under Bifidobacterium longum subsp. infantis. RNAcentral describes it as "bacterial SSU rRNA". It matches the Rfam family "Bacterial small subunit ribosomal RNA", at positions 165 to 700 of the family's 1533-position model. RNAcentral also lists the same sequence under 1 other name. The record is from RNAcentral. Lineage: Bacteria; Bacillati; Actinomycetota; Actinomycetes; Bifidobacteriales; Bifidobacteriaceae.